GACGAACGCUGGCGGCGUGCCUAACACAUGCAAGUCGAACGGAAAGGCCCAGCUCGCUCGGUACUCGAGUUGCCAACGGGCGAGUAACUCGUGGGUGAACUGCCCUCCACUCUGGGAUAAGCCAGGUCAACUGGGUCUAAUACCUGAUAUGACCUACUGUCGCCUGGUGGUUGGAGGAAAGCUUUUGCGGUUUGGGAUGGGCGCGCGGGCUAUCAGCUUGUUGGUGGGGGAUUGGUCUACUAAGGCGACGACGGGUAGCCGACCCGGGAGGGGGAUCAGCCACCAUAGGCCUACGGGACGGACCAGAAGGCAACGGGAGGCAGCAGGCGAAAGUAUGACGGAACGGGGGCGAGCCAGAGACGACGGCGCCGCGUGAGUGAUGACGGCCUUCGGGGGAUGAACAUCUUUCACCGGAGACGAAGCGUGAGUGACGGUACCUAAAGAAGAAGCACCGGCCAACUACGUG
RNAcentral lists this ribosomal RNA (466 nucleotides) under uncultured bacterium. Its description in RNAcentral is "partial 16S ribosomal RNA". It matches the Rfam family "Bacterial small subunit ribosomal RNA", at positions 28 to 507 of the family's 1533-position model. The record is from RNAcentral.